UCAGUAAUUUAAGGCUCCCCUCUGAGGUGCCAGAGCUCCUCUACGGAGCCGGGGUAACUACUCCACCUCUUGGGAUCCUGGGGCUUCGCAAGCAAGCAAACAAAAUCACCAAAGGUCUUCUAAGAACAGAAAGACCACAGCGUUAGAAGCUACAGAAGGCUAAAUGCGUAAAGAACCAUAAAGGACCUCCAGAGCGCACGAUACCCUGGGAUGCAGGGAAGCCCACUGAUAAGGACACUGGCAAUUUCCACGGGCGUGUUCCUCAGAUUGGAUUAUCCAGGGACCAUUCCACUGAAACUGCAACCAAAGCUGCCUGUGGCCUCACUUUCCUGCCCAAGUGUGACUGCAGUCUGUUCUAUUUGCAGGUCACCACAGACCCGUUUCCCAAGCCAGUGAAAAACCACACUAUGCCACAGAUGGAUUUUAAAGGAUGGAUCUUUUUUCCAACAUGUGGCUUCCUGUAAUUUAAGGAAAUGUUAUACAUGAACAAUUAAAAUCAUAUAUCAAAAAAGAC
Molecule: long non-coding RNA, 514 nt
Organism: Suricata suricatta (meerkat)
Lineage: Eukaryota; Metazoa; Chordata; Mammalia; Carnivora; Herpestidae
Exons: 4
Source: RefSeq, a predicted model, not a curated record